ACCGGUGAGUUAUUGGUUGCUGCGUUUAGCCUAACCAAGUUUAACUUGGGGAGGCGUAGUGAAAGCGUGACCUAAUCGGUCGAUUUAGUAGCAACCAUUAGACCCGAAACCGGGUGAGCUAACCUUGGGCAGGGCGAACCCCGAUGAAAAUCGGGGGAAGGCCCGAACCCGUAUCUGUAGCAAUAGGUUGGGAUGACCUGAGGUUAGGGGCAAUAUGCCAAACGAACCCGGAGAUAGCUGGUUCUCCCCGAAAUAUAUUUAGGUAUAGCGGGAACGUUACAACAACACGGGGGUAGAGCACUGGAUGGUUACUGGCGACGCAAGUUGUCGGAACCAACCAAACUCCGAAUACCGAUGUUGCUUACGUUCCUAGUCAGACUGUUCGGGCUAAGCUGAUCAGUCGAGAGGGAAACAGCCCAGACUCCCAUCUAAGGCCUCUAAAUAGGGGCUAAGUUGCAAAGGAAGUCAAGUUCCUAAGACACCCAGGAGGUUGGCUUAGAAGCAGCCAUCCUUUAAAGAAAGCGUAACAGCUCACUGGCGGAUGGAAUUUGGCGCCGAAAAUGAUCGAGGAUUAAGCCCUUUGCCGAAGAUGGAGACCCUGCGCUCUGCGCAGGGUAGUAGGGGAGCGUCCCGAUGGCAGUGAAGGUGAACUGUAAGGUUUGCUGGAGCUAUCGGGAGUGAGAAUGCCGGUAUGAGUAGCGAGAGUCCCGUGAGAAUCGGGACCGCCGAAAACCCAAGGUUUCCUGCGCAAUGUAAAUCAGCGCAGGGUUAGUCGGCCCUUAGGGUGUUCCUCGAAAAUGGGGAGUAACUCGAAGGACAAGUCGUUAAAAUUCGACUACAGGGUAUGGAAUCGUGUAAGGGAAUAACGAGGUUGGAAGAGUCAAGCUACGUUCAUGCGCAAGCACUAAAUGUAGUUUAAUUAGCAAGAUAGAAAUGGUUGGAAAAUCCGCCAUUUUGUUUAAUCGAGCUAUGAUGAAAAAUCUUUUCGCAAGGAAAGGUGAUUUGAUAUUUUUCGGCUUCCGAGAAAAGUUUCAUUACGUCCUGAGUUUAUCGAAGGACAAAGCCAUAUCUUGCCGUACCGCAUAACCGACACAGGUGGGUUGGUCGAGAAGACUAAGGCGAUCGGGAGAAAGAUGAUCAAGGAACUCGGCAAAAAAGCUGGGCGUAACCUAUGGGAGAUGCCCUGCCCCGAAUAAUAUCGGGGCCGCAGCUAAAGUUUGCUUAGCGACUGUUUAUCUAAAACACAGGUCCCUGCAAAACCGAAAGGUAAAGUAUAGGGGCUGACGCCUGCCCAGUGCUGGUAAGUUAAUUAUCGGAGGUGACCCUCGCAAGAGGAAAGCUUUUGAUACAAGCUCCAGUAAACGGCAGCAGUAACUAUAACUGUUCUAAGGUAGCGAAGUUCCUUGUCGGGCGAGUUCCGACCCGCACGAAAGGCAGAACGACUGAGCAACUGUCUUGAUCAUCUACCCGGCGAAAUUGAGAUGGCCGUGAAGACGCGGCCUAGUUGUCCUUGGACAAAAAGACCCCGGGAGCUUUACUGUAGCUUGGCAUUUGAAAGUUUAUUUUAACUGUUGAGAAUAGGAGGGAGCCAGGUGCCAUCUGGUACCUGGCAAAAAUGAAAUACCUCUCUUUGAAAUAAGCAAUCAUCACCUCUUUGCCGCAUAAAAAUCCGGCAGAGGAACAGUGUUUGGCGGGCAGUUUAACUGGGGAGGUUGACUCCUACAGCGCAACGGAGUUGUACAAAGGUUGGCUAGCUUCGGAUGGAAAUCGAAGUGAUAGCGUAAAGGCACAAGCCAGCUUAACUGCGAGACCUACAAGUCGAGCAGAUGCGAAAGCAGGUCUUAAUGAUCCUCUGUAGCAUAGUGGUAUGCGCAGAGCUUAACGGAUAUAAGCUACCCCGGGGAUACAAAAUGUGUCCAGAUUCUAUGGUAACAUGGAAUCAGGCAUACGGCUAAUAACGGUGGAGCCCUCUUGUUUUAGCGGUUAAAGGUCUUUCCGCAAACGAGGGAAACAAAGGGUAAUACCGUGGGAAGUCGGUUCGGAAAACUCGGAAAAACUCAGUAAAUCAGAUAAGUCAGAUAAUCUGAUAAUCAGAAAAUCUGAAACACUGGUAGGCUGAGUAUUCUGAGCUAUUCUGAAUUUGACCCCGUAUCGACUGAACAAAAAUCCGAUGUCAGAUCGGAUAAGUAGUGAGAUAGCUUCUUAAUUAUAAGAGCUAUCAUACGCCGUACCCCCGCCUUUAGCGGGGUGAAGAUAUAGUCAGUGCCACAAGAAAUUGUGGAUUGUCAUUCUGCAUUGCAGAAUAACAUGAACAGGCUGAUCGCUCCCAAGCGUCCACAGCGACGGGGCGGUUUGGCACCUCGAUGUCGGCUCAUCUUAUCCUGGGGGUGGAGAAGCUCCCAAGGGUCGGGCUGUUCGCCCGUUAAAAAGGUACGCGAGCUGGGUUAAGAACGGCGUAAGCCAGUUCGGACUCUAUCCAGGACAACCGUUUGAGAUUUGAGAGGAUCCGUGCUUAGUACGAGAGGACUAGCGUGGGGGAAUCCCUGGUGUGCCAGUUGUUCCAAAAGAGCAGCGCUGGGUAGCUAUAUUCCCAACCGAUAACCGCUGAAAGCAUCUAAGUGGGAAGCGGUCCUCAAGAUAAGAUCUCGUGUCCCGAUUUAAUCGGGACGAAGACCCCUUGUAGACUACGAGGUUGAUAAGCGAAAGCUUGUCGUCCGCCGCAAGGCGGAGAUAGGCGGGCAGUGGAAGGACAGUAAUGUCUUAAGCUUACCCGUACUAAUGGUCAAAAAGUAACUAUUU
RNAcentral lists this ribosomal RNA (2799 nucleotides) under bacterium. RNAcentral describes it as "partial 23S ribosomal RNA". It matches the Rfam family "Bacterial large subunit ribosomal RNA", at positions 619 to 2925 of the family's 2925-position model. The record is from RNAcentral.